UUUCUGCAUCUGAUUUUUCUAUUUGGGGUGGGGGUGGGGAGGUGCUGCAUGCUGGGAUAUUGUAUAAGCUGUUGUUUAUUAAUCUAAUGAGCAAAAUACAAAGGUCUGGAGGCAGAAGAAUUCUGUUAAAUUCAGUAAAAUUCUGCCCUCUCACAUAAUACUGGAAGUUGUGUGUCACGGUGAGCAGCUGCCUUUGGGUGCUUUGUCUUCUUGAAUUUGGUGGUCUCAGGGCAGUCUCCACAGAACCUUGGCAGCCUCCAAGGAUAUCUGCAGAAGCAUGAAGCAACUGGGCUUCUGCACAUCCCAGUGUAAAAGCCUUCUGCACAGACAGCGUUUCCUUUGGCUUUCAGAGGUGUGCUUUGUGUGUGAAAUGAUGAACAGAUGUCUGUGAAAUACAAGAUGAACUGGAUGGAGCUGCAGGCUUGCGUGGGCAACUGUAUGCUUCUGUGACACAAUGAAUUAUAAGGGGGAACUGAGAGUAAAUGCCAAAUCAUGGAGGUCGCUCUCCUUUUCCACUUCCCUUCUCCCCAGCAUGUUUUCUCCGGGAGAACUCUGCCAACAACUUCAGUUGUUGCUUAAGUGGGGCAGAGGGUCCCAUAUUACACUGCUGGCUCCCAUCAGCCGCCCAUCAGUCAGCCCUGACAGGCUCUGCUGGCAGCCCUGGAAAUCCAUCCUGCAGCCCAAGCACACGCUGUGUUGGGAACUCGCCCAGUCCUGUACAUGCAUAAUUCUCACUGACAUGGGACUGAGCCCUGCAGUCUUUGAGGAGUUGGUUAACACCGUUGGCAGUGGGUAGGAGCCAAGGGUGCAUGUGAGGGAACCGUGCUGUCGGGCUGGAUGUGAAUGGUUUCUUUCUGGUCAUGUCUUUGUUGGAAUGCUGAAGCCAUGAGGAGGUGCAGACAUGGGGUUUUGCUGUUCUCUUUUCCCUGGAAUUGUCUGGGCAGGAGUUCACAUGAAGCGUGUGCGUCCUGCCAGGGAAUUUCACAUUUGCAAAAUGAUAUUGUUUAGUGCAUUUGUGCCAAAAAAACACUGCUUAACAGAACUUCCUCGUGAAGAGCAAUUCCCUUUCAAGUUCCCAAUUUGAUCUUCCUUUUCCAAGACAGGCUACGACUUGGUCUCUUUUGUGCUAUAUUUAUACAUCUGCGUGUCCAAGAUUGAACUCUCAAAUCUGUGCUUUGUGCAGUAGAACACUUGCAUUAGCCCCGGGUGUCUUUUACCACGCUUGUUAAAAGAUGACACUGACACAAGAGGAGCCCUAGAAAAUCAAGACAACGUUAAUGUAGCAUUGAUUAUCAGAGCAGAGCAACAAGCAGCUCCUCUUGCUCUCUCAGUGCUUUCCUAUAUUUAGACAUCUAUGAGAUUUUCCUAUCAGACCAAAUACAGACCGUUCUCCAGCCAAGAUGUCCAGCUGUGACCAUCAGCUCUCUCCAAGAAAAUACGGCCUUGCUGGCUAGAAGCAUUGCUUUGCCAAACACUUCACACGCUUGAGGAUUUCGGUUUACAACAUCAACCAGACAGAUGAAGGAAAUUUUUUGAGGCCAGCAGGGCCCAGAUACCAAGUCACACCCUGCUACAGUUUCUUAUGGGAUGUUGCCUUUGAACACAGCAGGAGUUACAUUUAGGGGAAAAAAUUUAAAAGUAAAUAAGCCAAAAAUAUCCCCAACCAAACAGCAUUCAGAAGUCACCUUUCCUGUGGAGGUGUUGCAAUGGAAAUUGUAACAGUUCUAUGCUGUACUGUAAUUAUCAUUGUAAUUAUACAAGGGAGAAUGGAGAUCAAAAGGGAAGGUGGGGAAGAGAGGCUUAAAUGCAGAGGGAAGGUUUAAUGCCAGUAAGCUCAUGGAAAAAGCGUGGAUGGAUACAGCUGUAGUAUCGCAAUGUGCUCAUGGAUUUGUGUCUGGUGCUCACAGGAGAGGAUAAGAAUGGCAGAACCUCUGUUUGUGCUGAGUCCUGCCUACAUUUAACACUGGAACAGGCUGGAUGUGGCUCUGGGCAGCCUGGUCUGCUGUUGGUGAUCCCGCACACAGCAGGGGAUCGAAACUAGAUCUUUGAGAUCCUUUUCAACCUAGGCCAUUCUAUGAUUCUAAAAUUAGCACGUGACUAAAAAUGCAGCUUAUGUAUAUGAAGGAUAUUUGAAAUAGACAGUGCACUUCUAGUGUGAACUAUGGAAAUAAUUGGAAUUAGAUCACUGUUCAGGGAGUGAGAGCACACUGGGUGUAGAGGUGCCCAUCCAGUCCGGACUUGGUUUUAGAGUUAAGAUGCUGACACACUGCUGUUUGUUCCAACAUAACCUCACUGUCUGUGCUAUGGCAGGCAGAAGUUUGCCUUCAACCAGUGUUGUUAUUUGUUGAUAUUCAAAAAUAAAUAUCAAAAUAAAUGUUCAGAGAGAGAAUAGUCUGUAUAGCUUGUCAAAAUCUCCAGGGAGCAGGCACUACCAUUCUUUCCAAAGCAGCAAGAGGGAAGUAGGCAUGUAAAUUAUGUCUGCCCGUCUAAGCAGAAGUGCUAGUUCUGCUGGAUUUAGCAGAAUUUUCUUGCUCUCCUAUCUGAGAAGGAGCCAAACUCACAACUGCCAUGCGCUGGUGUUAUCCUGCUGUUUAUACUGUGGAUCAGAAGUGCCGUUGUGUUUAUCCCCAGCCAUCUGGGAGAGAGCAUCCUGAUUGUGCUCCACUUCUUCAGCUAGUGAUGUUUAAAUAUACAUAGGUCUGAUUAAUUCAAUAACAGGGAAAGGUUGAGUCCAAUCCUAAUGGAUCCAAACUCGGCUGGCCUUCCCCAUUUUUAAAGAUGCAGGCGAUCUUUGGAUGUGCAAACCCUUCUGAGAUCUGUUGAAAUGGGAAAGCUGGUGAGGUUCAGGCAGGAGAUGUAGAGCUGGUGCCUGUGCUUCUCUUAAAUUCCCACCUGGCUUUGCUGUGCUCCUUGUGUCAUUUGUGUAACAGCAAAAGCUGCUCUCAGAUGUGGCUGCAUUUGUUUAAUGCAUUGAUAGUGGGCAUAUGUUCUGAGAUAAAUCCACAUUCAGAAAUAUAAAUAUACGUGCAUGUAUACGUGUGUGUGUGUAUAUAAGUAAUCAACUGCUUCUAUUAAUAUAGCAUCAAUUAAUUCCUAACCAUCCUCCUCAAAGGGUGAAAUCUUUUGGCUUUAUCCAAGUAGGCCUUUAGGCAAAGAAGCCUAAAUAUGAGCCUUGGAGCACUGUGGUUAUCCCAAGAUUUUGUUGUUGGAUCAACACGGCUGCUUGAAUAGUGUCAAAUGCACUCCACAGGAAACAACUUGCAAGGCAAUUGGGUGAAGCAAUCUCCAGAUACGUAUCUCCUGGCCUUUGCCAGAGCUUGUACACGUCACAUCAGACACCCUGAGCACCACAGACCAUCUGCCUGGGUGCUGCUGGAAGGGAUGGUCAGACCUGCCAGCUCUGCCUGCGCAUGUCAGGCUGGCUGGGAAGGUUGGGUCCCAGCCACUGGUAGUUUGCUGGUCGAUCUGCGAUUGUUUGAAGGGAGGAUUUCUGUCACUGUAAGUUGCUCGUGGAACUUUGUGUUUCUUUGGAAGUGGCUUCUAGCUAAGCAGACCCACACUGUACAGCUUUGCAUGGACUGUGAGUGAUGGGAGCUGAGGGAGGAGAUUUGCUCCAGUGCUGUAACAGGCUGGAAACAGAAAGCAAUUUUUAUGUCAUUUAGGAAAAUAGUCUUUGUGGAUAAAAGAUGUGGCUCCACACUGGCUGGAGGUUAUGCUAUGGCUCAGUUGAUUAUAAACUUGAAGUCUUAUAGGGCAUAAAAAGACCAAGUUUGUGACCUGUGUUCAGAUUUCAGCUCAGACCUGGGAUUAGCUCUGCAGUCCUGCUGCUUUGCAAAUGCAUUCUGCCUUCAGCUGCACUUAAUACAGAUAUCUGCUGCUUGGAGCAGUGCCUCCUGCUCGCUAUGGAGGGUGUCUGGGUGGCACGCCAAGAUCCCGUCCCAAAUAUCUUCUGGAUUGAUUGGGAAAUGCAUGAAACAAGGCCCAGGGCCCAGAACUUCAUAUGCUGUUUCAAAGCAAGAUAGUUCUGUCUUUCAUCUCUACCCGUAUUCUCUUCACUGGUGAGAUAAACAACGUGCUGUCUCCUAUAUGGAGAGUGCACUGUGGAGCAAGCUGGGUUUACUCUGCGUUCAGCCAAGACCUGGGGAUACUCUGGGGGAUGGGAAUGUGAGAAAGCUGCUUGCUUGCUUUUCGACUUUUUCCCUCACUUCAUUGUGUUUCUGUGGGCGACUCCCUGGUGAUAAAUGAACUAUAGUGUCUGAGGAGAAAAAGUAAUCUUGCUGUGGUAUUGUUUCAAAUCUGCAAGAAUUUCAGUCGUCGUCUUGAAUGCAUUACGUUCUCAGGAGUGGUUUUGUUAGAGUAUACUGAUUUGGAAAAGGAUCAUAUUUAUGAUACCUCUCUCUCUUAAUUCAACAUACAGUUUCUAAAUGCUGAUGCUGAAAGUUUUCCCUUGCAGAAGAUUUGCUUAACGUAAAUUUUCUGUCCUGCUUUGCUGAGCUGCUCAGAACACAAUGGCGUUUGCGCAGGCUUCUCAGCAGGUGGAUCUAAUCAUGCAGAGAUUUCUUUCACUGUGUUUAUUUCUCACCGAGUAGAAGCCAUUGAUUUAGACAUCAGAUACUAAGCUGGCAUAAUUAUUUAAAAUAAACACGGGGCUGUUACAAGACUGCUCUGAAAUUGUGUUCCUUCCAGAUGUGCAGAAAGUUGCUUAAGGCGGUGCCCCAAAGGACACAUUGCCUUCUGUGGCAGUUGGGUUGCUUGUUGCAGAGACAUCUCUGAUUCUUACUAGUGCCAAUGCCAGUGAGAACCUGGCAAGGACGGGCCGCAGUGCAUUUGAAAAGAAUGCUAUUGAGGAGGUUUUCAGGUAGCUGGCUUAGUAUGUGAGAGAUGGAUGCCUGCAGGUGUGAGCGCUGUCAAUUUAUGCUGGCACAGGUGAGAGCUGUCUGCCUCCUCCUGCCAGAAGCUGCUGCAGGUGGGGCAGCCUGGCUCUCCUUCCAUCUCCUCAGGUGCCUCCCCUUGCAGCCAGGCAGAGCAACUUUAAAAAAAAGAAAAGGGUUCAGCUGGAGGCACUUUGCCAGCCAGCACACUGCAGCUGAAGGGCUGAAAUGCAGGGUGGUAAUUUCCUUCAUCGGGGUGGGGUGCAUUCCUGUGGGCACGAAUCUUUUAUGUUUCCUUGGUCUGAAUCGCUAGAUUUGUCUGGAGAUUGCUGUUCCCAGUGAGCUGUGGGGAUGCUGGUGGCUGGUGCACCUCACAGGCACCACACGUCCCACUGUUGGGCCCUAAGAAGGGCUAAUUCUCUCUUCCUGAGGGAGCGCUGCCACCAGUGCAGCAGCAAAGCUUGCACAUCCCUGCUGCCAGGGAUACCCAGCGAUCCCUCAGGUGGAAAACCCAACACUGGGGCAACUCAGCUCUUGGUGAGAAUGUGCCAUCGCCCUCGGUCUGGGAAAUGGCUCUGGUGUGGGGCUGGGCAGCAGCGCUUGGCUGCGCUCUCUAGGAUUCCUCCCCCCUUGAAAAAAAAUGCUAUUCUAAAAAUAUUAAACUAAAUGCACCAGGCUGAGGCAUGCACUGAGCACAUUGCCCCUUGUCCUUUUCUCAAGGCAGGGGCUGUGCUGCGGUGCCCAGACAAACCUGCAUUUUAUUCCAAACCAGGUGUGAGAUCAGCCAGGUUGUAAACCAACUGCUGCUAUUAUUAAUGUGUCUCCCUGCUUAAGCUGUCAGUGUCUGUUUUGUGUCUUGUUAGACUACAAUCCAGCUCUUUUUGUAUGGGAAAGAGGGUGCUCAUUUCGGUCUGUGCUCUGCACUAUUGAGAACAGGAUCAUGAGAGAUGAGGAGGUGACCCAAGACAGCCAGCACAGCUUCCCCAAGGGCAGAUUGUGCAUCACCAAUCUGAUGGCCUUCUACAAUGCAGUGACAACAUCAGUGGACAAAGGAUGGGCAACUGAUGUCAUCUACCUGGACUUGUGCAAGGCCUCUGAUGAUGGUCCUACACCACAUCCUUAUUUCUGAAUUGGAAGGAUAUGGGUUUGAAGAGUGGGCUAAUUGGUGGAUAAAGAAUUGGAUGGUCACAGCCAGAGGGUUCUUGACAGUGGUUUGGAUGGAGGCAAUGACCAAUGGUGUCCCCUGGCAGUCUGUUCAUCUGUGGAGGUGUUCAAGGCCAGGCUGGAUGAGGCCCCGGGCAGCCUGAUUUACUGCCUGAUUUAGCCAGCAGCAUUGGGGUUGGAACCGGAUGGUCUUUAAGGUCUCUUCCAACCCAAGCUAUUUGAUGAUUCUGCUAUGUAGAAAGCUAAAGCUCCUGGUGCUUUGAGGAGCUGCAGCUGCAUUGUGGAAGCCUGGCUUGUGCCUGGAGGGCUAAUGAGGUGCAAUCAGGUCACUUGGCACCAUUGCCUUGUCCAAAGAGACCUGCAAACAGAUCUUGAGCAUCCAAAUCCUGCUUGUAGGGUCAAAUGGGAGGCCCACAGUGUGCUCAGGAGGAGUUUUUCAUGAGCAGUAAGGAUCUGACAGUCAGUAGAAUGGGAAGGCUAUUAAGAAAACAUUCAUUAACUCAGGUGGACCUAAUCAUCUGGUUAAAGGGAACAUACAUUGCAAAACUUCCACAAAAAAAAAAACAAAA
Molecule: long non-coding RNA, 6604 nt
Organism: Tympanuchus pallidicinctus (lesser prairie-chicken)
Lineage: Eukaryota; Metazoa; Chordata; Aves; Galliformes; Phasianidae
Exons: 2
Source: RefSeq, a predicted model, not a curated record